Molecule: long non-coding RNA, 372 nt
Filed under: Myripristis murdjan (pinecone soldierfish)
Lineage: Eukaryota; Metazoa; Chordata; Actinopteri; Holocentriformes; Holocentridae
Description: lncRNA (ENSMMDG00005014936.1)
Source: RNAcentral
CCUGUUCCUGUACACAGCAACAAAGUCCCUAGCUUUGGGGGGCAGCGGUCAGCAUGGCAGUGUUGUGGUGUAAAGUGUGACAAGUAACGCUAAGAUGAUGAACGACAUUAUAGAGGAGCAAGAGAGGGACACCCUCCUGGACGCGCUGCCCGAGCCGCAAGUUUUGACGGGGCCUAGCAGCAGCACGAGACCCAAGACUGCUGAUGGUGGCAUCAGGCCUGUGGAGAAAAGAGGACCUUACAUCAUGUCCAGAGCUCCAGCCAUCCACCUUAAACUACAGAAGCACCGGGAGAUGGCGAGGAAAGCAUUGAAGAAGAAAGCCCUCACAUCAGGAGCUCCAGUGCUGCAUCAACCCAGACAAGGAGCCAAGAG